Molecule: long non-coding RNA, 482 nt
Filed under: Helianthus annuus (common sunflower)
Lineage: Eukaryota; Viridiplantae; Streptophyta; Magnoliopsida; Asterales; Asteraceae
Source: RNAcentral
UCCAGAUUUGAUCACGUUUACCAAGAAACGAUCCUAACGGUCCUUGCUUUCCUAUAUAAACCCACUUAAUUCUUGCUCUCAUUUCACCCAUGAUCUGAAUUGUUCUAAGUUGGGGCCUUAGUGCUUCAUACCUGAACAUCCAAGGUCAUUUCCAUCCUUGCUUGGACCCUUUCGUUUCGAUAAACGCUUUGACUAUUAAACGGCUAAGCCAUGGAGCCCAGUAAAAGCUAUCUGUACUUGCUUGGUGGUAUACGGCUGGGAUUAAAUUUAUAUUUAGCUCAGGUACUACGCGUAAUAGGCUGGUUUCUCCUAGCAUCAUAUAGAAGUCUCGCAAGCUUAGAUUCCUGAAGUCUGUUGAACAAUGUUUUAUUUUAUUUGCGAUCCGCCUGUGGAUCUUUUACUUUCCGUAUUGUAAUACUUGGAUAUUACUUCAUACCGGAUUGUAAUAUAUUUUUGCUUCCGCUGUGCAUUUAAAUUGUGUG